Molecule: long non-coding RNA, 706 nt
Filed under: Anas platyrhynchos platyrhynchos (common mallard)
Lineage: Eukaryota; Metazoa; Chordata; Aves; Anseriformes; Anatidae
Description: lncRNA (ENSAPLG00000017212.1)
Source: RNAcentral
CCAAGGUGGAUUUCCCCCUUUCCUGUGCUGGGCCAAAGCAUCCAAGUGACCUUUGAUUUUUUUUCUUUUUCUCUCUCCUUUUUUUUUUCCCUUUGGCCUUUUUUUGUUUUGUUUUGUUUUGUUUCUGACUCGCCAUAUGUGAGAUAAUUGUGCCCACAGGAAUUCCUUUCAGAGUGCCUAAGCACAAAAGAAAAACACCCGGCCAACUCUUUUUUCUAGGGCAGUACAAACAUUUCCUUAAACCUAAGUGUCUCGGGAGGGGCAUUGACAGAAGGCGCCUUUCACCCAGAAAGCCCGCCCUGCGCCGAGCUGCUGCUGAACCCUCAGCUGCCUCCUGCAUUUUGACGUCACUGCUGGAGUGAAAGUUUUGCCAACAAAAGCAGUCAUGUUCUUUGAUUCCAGCUUUAUGACAAUGGAAAGGAGGCCAGCGCCAAUCGCUCCACGUGGCCAGAGUGGCUUCAGGAAGGAGCAAAAUCACAGUAAGGAGCAAGAGAGCCCAGAGCUUGUCUGGCAGCUUUAGAACAUGUUUUAGGUGUGGUAUUUUCAUCUCUCUUUUUACAAAGAGAGAAGGAAAGAAAGAAGAAAAGAUGGGAAGAAGGAAGAAUGGAAAGAAGGAGGGAAAGAAGGAAAUAAGGUAACUAAAUAUACAAGAAAGGCCAUAGAAAACCAAAAUAUAUUUUGUAAAUUGACAUUUGUGGGGUGGGGG